UACAGAGGUCUCAAGCGUUGUUCGGAUUCAUUGGGCGUACAGGGUGCGUAGGUGGCGCCGUAAGUCGGGUGUGAAAUUUCGGAGCUUAACUCCGAAACUGCAUUCGAUACUGCGGUGCUUGAGGACUGGAGAGGAGACUGGAAUUCAUGGUGUAGCAGUGAAAUGCGUAGAGAUCAUGAGGAAGACCAGUGGCGAAGGCGGGUCUCUGGACAGUUCCUGACACUGAGGCACGAAGGCCAGGGGAGCAAACGGG
This 253-nucleotide ribosomal RNA is filed under the name uncultured bacterium. RNAcentral's name for it is "partial 16S ribosomal RNA". It matches the Rfam family "Bacterial small subunit ribosomal RNA", at positions 524 to 776 of the family's 1533-position model. The record is from RNAcentral.